Molecule: transfer RNA, 87 nt
Rfam family: tRNA
About the family: Transfer RNA (tRNA) molecules are approximately 80 nucleotides in length.
GCCCGUAUAGAGUAAUAGCAACUCGUUGGUCUCCUAUAUCAGUAUAGGUGACAGCCAAGGAUCCUGGUGCAAAUCCGGGUAUGGGUA